Non-coding RNA from Erythranthe guttata (spotted monkey flower), 666 nucleotides. The record is from RefSeq and is a predicted model, not a curated record. Lineage: Eukaryota; Viridiplantae; Streptophyta; Magnoliopsida; Lamiales; Phrymaceae.
AUAAUUUAGACAUACCUCAACAUUGGUUGUAAUUUAUCCUUUAAUUAAUCUAUAGUAUUAAACUUUUCAUUAACACCAAAAAUAGUCACCUUAGGCCAUGGGAACAUUCAAUCACAUCGGCCUCUGUUGUAGAAGGCCCAAAAAAGAAAUAAUUUGAUUUGUUAUAUAUAAUACUCUCUCUCUCUCUCUCUCUCUCUCUCUCUCUCUCUCUCUCUCAUUAAAAUAAGACAACAUACACAUUGGUGGCAUUUUUCAUACAUUUGAAGAAUGAUGAUAUUAUGACAUAAAAAAAUAGGUCCAAUGGUGUGAAAAGGAUUAGAGGAUCACUUACUCUGCUACGCCAUCUUGACUUUGCUGUCAACAACAUUCACACACAACACUUUCAAUUAAGACAACCUAAGAUAAUGUAGGCCCAAAACACACCUCAAAAACCAGAUUACCAAAUUAAUUACAUCAUAACUAAACAAUUACAUUUUCAUCCAAUAGCUACUAACCCACAACAUCAUGAAUCUUGCCAUCUAAAUAGGCCAACACCUCAAAUACAGAAGAAGAGAUAAAUUUCAUGUCACAAAAUCAAUUGUGACCAAAUAAAUUUUCUUGAUCUCUAAGGUUCAUAAAUCAUAAUACAAUCUUUUGCAAGUAUAACAAAUUAACAAUACAAUAAAA